GCGUCAGGCUCUGCGCCGUCUGAGGGAGAAGCGGUCAUUACGGCGAGGUGACCUGUCCAGCGGGUCACAGAGUACAGGGAGCCAGAUGUCCGACACGUGGGCCGUAAGAAGCAACCGUCCGUACCCCGCCUACCAACACAACCAGGUCGCGCCCCUUGCUACCAUGGCAACCACCACAACACGACUCAACAGCCCGACUCAGUUAAAAGAGUUAGCUGACGGUAACCAUGGUGAAACUGAACGGGAGAGAGAGGAACUAUCCUUGAUGUAUAUCUAGCCACGCGCAGGGGGCGUACAAGGAGCAACACCCAGCGACACCCAAGUAGUUUGCCGGAGUCUCCGAACUACUCUCCAAGCUCUCCGUCUUUAUGAAUGCUUCCUUGUCAUCGGUCUGUGAACACUGAAUCAAAUCAGUUAACUUGCCAACCUGAUCCAAAUUUUCAUACGGAUCACAUGUUUUAAUUAUGUCCCCUUACUGAAAUAUAUUUUUAUUUAUUUUGUUCAUUUUUUAUUCACGUGCCACCGACAUUGUUGUUAUUGUGUAUGCAUUUGUGUCAACACAUUAACCACAUUCGCCAAAUGUAACCUAACCUACCUCGUCUUCCUUAAACUCCCUUAAAGUCAAUCAAUCAUCACCUUUUCCAAGCUUCCCUUAACUUAAAUCCCAACCCACACGCUUAAUCCGACUCACCAUUCCUACUCACACGC
Haliotis rufescens (red abalone) is the source of this 708-nucleotide long non-coding RNA. RefSeq lists it as uncharacterized. The record is from RefSeq and is a predicted model, not a curated record. Lineage: Eukaryota; Metazoa; Mollusca; Gastropoda; Lepetellida; Haliotidae. The transcript is spliced from 3 exons.